UACGAAGGGGACUAGCGUUGUUCGGAAUUACUGGGCGUAAAGGGCGCGUAGGUUGUACGGUAAGUCAGGUGUGAAAGCCCAGGGCUCAACCCUGGAACAGCAUUUGAUACUGCCGUGCUGGAGUGUGGGAGAGGAAAGCGGAAUUCCGAGUGUAGAGGUGAAAUUCGUAGAUAUUCGGAAGAACACCAGUGGCGAAGGCGGCUUUCUGGACCACAACUGACACUGAGGCGCGAAAGCGUGGGGAUCAAACAGG
RNAcentral lists this ribosomal RNA (253 nucleotides) under uncultured bacterium. RNAcentral's name for it is "partial 16S ribosomal RNA". It matches the Rfam family "Bacterial small subunit ribosomal RNA", at positions 524 to 776 of the family's 1533-position model. The record is from RNAcentral.